AGUGAACGCUGGCGGUAGGCCUAACACAUGCAAGUCGAACGGCAGCACAGUAAGAGCUUGCUCUUACGGGUGGCGAGUGGCGGACGGGUGAGGAAUACAUCGGAAUCUACUUUUUCGUGGGGGAUAACGUAGGGAAACUUACGCUAAUACCGCAUACGACCUACGGGUGAAAGCAGGGGAUCUUCGGACCUUGCGCGAUUGAAUGAGCCGAUGUCGGAUUAGCUAGUUGGCGGGGUAAAGGCCCACCAAGGCGACGAUCCGUAGCUGGUCUGAGAGGAUGAUAAGCCACACGGGAACUGAGACGCAGUCCGGACGCCUGCGGGAGGCAGCAGUGUGGCAUAUUGGACAAUGGGCGCAAGCCUGAUCCAGCCAUACCGCGUGGAUGAAGAACGCCUUCGGGUUGUACAGCCGUUUUGUUGGGAAAGAAAAGCAGCAGGUUAAUACCCCGCUGUUCUGACGCUACCCAAAGAAUAAGCACCGGCUAACUUCGUG
RNAcentral lists this ribosomal RNA (492 nucleotides) under uncultured bacterium. RNAcentral's name for it is "partial 16S ribosomal RNA". It matches the Rfam family "Bacterial small subunit ribosomal RNA", at positions 29 to 507 of the family's 1533-position model. The record is from RNAcentral.